RNAcentral lists this ribosomal RNA (378 nucleotides) under uncultured bacterium. RNAcentral's name for it is "bacterial SSU rRNA". It matches the Rfam family "Bacterial small subunit ribosomal RNA", at positions 42 to 424 of the family's 1533-position model. The record is from RNAcentral.
UCAGGCCUAACACAUGCAAGUCGAACGGUAACGCGGGGCAACCUGGCGACGAGUGGCGAACGGGUGAGUAAUGCAUCGGAACGUGCCCGGUAGUGGGGGAUAACUGCUCGAAAGAGCAGCUAAUACCGCAUACGACCUGAGGGUGAAAGGGGGGGAUCGCAAGACCUCUCGCUAUCGGAGCGGCCGAUGUCGGAUUAGCUAGUUGGUGGGGUAAAGGCCCACCAAGGCAACGAUCCGUAGCUGGUCUGAGAGGACGACCAGCCACACUGGGAGUGAGACACGGCCCAGACUCCUACGGGAGGCAGCAGUGGGGAAUUUUGGACAAUGGACGCAGGUCUGAUUCAAAAGAGCCGCGUGCGGGAAGAAGGCCUUCGGGUU